GAGUUUGAUCAUGGCUCAGGAUGAACGCUAGCGGCAGGCUUAACACAUGCAAGUCGAGGGGUAGUAUAGCAAUAUAUGAGACCGGCGCACGGGUGCGUAACGCGUAUGCAAUCUACCUUUUACAGGGGAAUAGCCCAGAGAAAUUUGGAUUAAUGCCCCAUGGUAUAAUUGAUUGGCAUCAAUUAAUUAUUAAAGUUCCAACGGUAAAAGAUGAGCAUGCGUCCCAUUAGCUAGUUGGUAUGGUAACGGCAUACCAAGGCGAUGAUGGGUAGGGGUCCUGAGAGGGAGAUCCCCCACACUGGUACUGAGACACGGACCAGACUCCUACGGGAGGCAGCAGUGAGGAAUAUUGGACAAUGGGCGCAAGCCUGAUCCAGCCAUGCCGCGUGCAGGAAGAAGCAUCUAUGGUGUGUAAACUGCUUUUAUACAGGAAGAAACACUCCCUCGUGAGGGAGCUUGACGGUACUGUAAGAAUAAGGACCGGCUAACUCCGUGCCAGCAGCCGCGGUAAUACGGAGGGUCCAAGCGUUAUCCGGAAUCAUUGGGUUUAAAGGGUCCGUAGGCGGUUUAAUAAGUCAGUGGUGAAAGCCCAUCGCUCAACGAUGGAACGGCCAUUGAUACUGUUAGACUUGAAUUAUUAGGAAGUAACUAGAAUAUGUAGUGUAGCGGUGAAAUGCUUAGAUAUUACAUGGAAUACCAAUUGCGAAGGCAGGUUACUACUAAUGGAUGACGCUGAUGGA
RNAcentral lists this ribosomal RNA (740 nucleotides) under uncultured bacterium. RNAcentral describes it as "bacterial SSU rRNA". It matches the Rfam family "Bacterial small subunit ribosomal RNA", at positions 9 to 753 of the family's 1533-position model. The record is from RNAcentral.